AUUCCAUCUCCAAGGUGAACAAAACCAAUGUAAGAGAAGAAAUAUUAGGUCAGUGAAGGCCAGGGGAAUAUUUAAGUUUUAAUGCUAGUGUUUUGAACUUUAAGACAAAGAGCAUGAAGAAGUCACUUCAGUGUCCAGCUUGAUGCUUCCUCUUUUUCUUACAUAAGCUUAUGGGAGUUCAUAGAAGAACACAGAGUUCAAAGAAGAACCUGCCUUUGCUGUUGGAUACAUCAUGGUUUAUGUUUUCGUUCUGCUCUUCAUAAUUGUAUAAUCCAAGGUUUGUUAAUCAACCUCUUAAACUUUAGAUUUCUCCCUCUGCAAAGUGAGGCUACUGAUAAUACCCGGCAUACAAGAAUUUUGUAUGGAUUAAAUGAGAUUAGCAUGUUAAUCUCUCAGCAGAGAACCUACCACAUAAAGAAUGCUCAAUAAAUGUUUGUAUCAUUUUUAUAAUCAUUAAUGCCAUCCAGGCAGUAAACACUCCUAUCUAUGAGUGAAAAACAGCACAAUAAUACGGAAAGCAUAACAAAAUGGAAAGAAAAUACAAUAAGAAAGUAUCACCCAACUAUAUGGAAUUGCUGGCAUUUGACUAUUUUUCCCUACAAAUAAAGCAGUCUCACACAGCUCAACCUAAUAGACUCAUUACAUUAUUUUACAAAGUGCAUUUUGUCUCCAGAGGAAAGAAAGUGCUGGAACACUAAACUAGUAUUUGCCAUCACAAAAAGGCACUGGAGGCAAUCAGUAUAAUUCAGAGGAGCCUCAAAGUUCUCCAAACACCUUCUCCAUAUUCAGAAUGAAGGGACCUGAGUAAACGCCAUAUACCCAUUUUGCAGGUGUGAAGUUUAAAGGACCACUAUUAAUGAAUUGACCAAGAAUAGUUCUUCCUAGGUGACUGAAGACCCUAUGAAAUUGGGGGUGCUGGCAAUACGUAACCUGAAAGAAUCCAAACCAUGGAAUGGCAAGAAGACUAUAAGCCCAGUUGGUGGAAGCCACCUUUCAAGGGGCUGAUAACAAGUGCAUCCCUCCCCACCUGCGUCUGCUCAGGCAGCCCCAUGGGGUGGUUUAGCAUGCUGCAGCUGUGCAGAUUUCCAUCUCUGAUAAAACUUUGCCUGAGAGCUAUUUGCUGAUGAUUGUCAACAAUCAAAUGAAUUAUAGAUUAUGUUGGUAAACAAAAUGCUGCCUUGAUGAAUGAUGAGUUGGCUCUAUUCUGACAUGACUGCUAAGUCAUUCAAAGCGCUGAUUAAACCCAUUACUGUAAAAUAAUCACCAUCCAUUACCUUUAAUGUCGUGAACUGACAACCUAGUUAAGGCAGCUGAUGGUGUCAGCAAAGUGAUUUGUUGUACUGCAUGUCCAUCGACAAUAAAUCACUCCGAUAAAUCAAUGAACAGUAGCAAUAAAACAAUAUAUUUUCAUA
Long non-coding RNA from Canis lupus familiaris (dog), 1412 nucleotides. RefSeq lists it as uncharacterized. The transcript has 3 exons. The record is from RefSeq and is a predicted model, not a curated record. NCBI's taxonomy places the organism in Eukaryota, Metazoa, Chordata, Mammalia, Carnivora, Canidae.